GACGAACGCUGGCGGCGUGCUUAACACAUGCAAGUCGAACGGUAAGGCUCCAGCUUGCUGGGGUACACGAGUGGCGAACGGGUGAGUAACACGUGGGUGACCUGCCCUGCACUUCGGGAUAAGCCUGGGAAACUGGGUCUAAUACCGGAUAGGACCGCACCGUGAGGGUGUGGUGGAAAGUUUUUUCGGUGUGGGAUGGGCCCGCGGCCUAUCAGCUUGUUGGUGGGGUAAUGGCCUACCAAGGCGGCGACGGGUAGCCGGCCUGAGAGGGUGGACGGCCACAUUGGGACUGAGACACGGCCCAGACUCCUACGGGAGGCAGCAGUGGGGAAUAUUGCACAAUGGGCGGAAGCCUGAUGCAGCGACGCCGCGUGGGGGAUGACGGCCUUCGGGUUGUAAACUCCUUUCACCAUCGACGAAGGGUUUCUGACGGUAGAUGGAGAAGAAGCACCGGCUAACUACGUGCCAGCAGCCGCGGUAAUACGUAGGGUGCGAGCGUUGUCCGGAAUUACUGGGCGUAAAGAGCUCGUAGGUGGUUUGUCGCGUCGUCUGUGAAAUUCCGGGGCUUAACUCCGGGCGUGCAGGCGAUACGGGCAUAACUUGAGUACUGUAGGGGAGACUGGAAUUCCUGGUGUAGCGGUGAAAUGCGCAGAUAUCAGGAGGAACACCGGUGGCGAAGGCGGGUCUCUGGGCAGUAACUGACGCUGAGGAGCGAAAGCAUGGGGAGCGAACAGGAUUAGAUACCCUGGUAGUCCAUGCCGUAAACGGUGGGCGCUAGGUGUGGGUUUCCUUCCACGGGAUCCGUGCCGUAGCUAACGCAUUAAGCGCCCCGCCUGGGGAGUACGGCCGCAAGGCUAAAACUCAAAGGAAUUGACGGGGGCCCGCACAAGCGGCGGAGCAUGUGGAUUAAUUCGAUGCAACGCGAAGAACCUUACCUGGGCUUGACAUAUACAGGAUCGCGCCAGAGAUGGUGUUUCCCUUGUGGCUUGUAUACAGGUGGUGCAUGGUUGUCGUCAGCUCGUGUCGUGAGAUGUUGGGUUAAGUCCCGCAACGAGCGCAACCCUUGUCUUAUGUUGCCAGCACGUUGUGGUGGGGACUCGUAAGAAACUGCCGGGGUUAACUCGGAGGAAGGUGGGGAUGACGUCAAAUCAUCAUGCCCCUUAUGUCCAGGGCUUCACACAUGCUACAAUGGUCGGUACAGUGGGUUGCCAGUCCGUGAGGGCGAGCUAAUCCCGCAAAGCCGGUCUCAGUUCGGAUCGGGGUCUGCAACUCGACCCCGUGAAGUCGGAGUCGCUAGUAAUCGCAGAUCAGCAACGCUGCGGUGAAUACGUUCCCGGGCCUUGUACACACCGCCCGUCACGUCAUGAAAGUCGGUAACACCCGAAGCCAGUGGCCUAACACAUUUUGUGGGGGAGCUGUCGAAGGUGGGAUUGGCGAUUGGGACGAAGUCGUAACAAGGUAGCCGUACCGGAAGGUGCGGCUGGAUCACCUCCUUUCUAAGGAGAUUAUUUUUUCUUUGUGUCAUGUGUCAUCGUGUUGGUGGCGUGUGGCUAUUUUUUGUUUUUUGGGUGGAACACCUGCUGGUCAGACUGCUUGAGUGAUGGUGGUCUGCGCGCGUGUAAGUGAUGAUUAAACGUUUGUGGUGCUUUCCUUUUUUUGUGUUGGUUGGUUGUUGGUGCGCUGUUGGGUGUCUGGGAUGACACAUGUUGUUGUUCCUGUUUACAGGUUGCUGCGUGCUGCGGGCAGGCUGCUUUUGUGGUGGUUUGUGUGUGGUGUGUGGGUGUUGUGUGAGAACUGGAUAGUGGACGCGAGCAUCUUGUUUUUCUGUAAGUUCGAUUUUGUCAAGCAGUUUUUCUGUUUGUGAUUGUUCUUAGUUAUUUGUUUGUGUGUUGUGUUGUAAGGGCGCAUGGUGGAUGCCUUGGCAUAGUAGGCCGAUGAAGGACGUGAGAGGCUGCGAUAGGCCUCGGGGAGCUGCCAACUAAGCGUUGAUCCGAGGGUGUCCGAAUGGGGAAACCUGGCCGUCGUUGUGGGCGGUCGCCGUUAGAUGAAUUCAUAGUCUAAUUGGUGGUUACGCGGGGAAGUGAAACAUCUCAGUACCCGUAGGAGUAGAAAACAAUUGUGAUUCCGUUAGUAGUGGCGAACGAACGUGGAUGAGGCUAAACCGCGUGCGUGUGAUACCUGGCAGGGUUUGCGUGCGUGGGGUUGUGGGGAUGCAUUGUGCAGGGUCUGCUAGUCCUGCGUUGUUUGGUGUGGGUGUAGCGGAAGUGGAUUGGAAUGUCCUGCCGUAGACGGUGAGAGUCCGGUACGUGAAACAUCCGUGCGUGCAAUUGGUGUGUUGCCCGAGUAGCAGCGGGCUCGUGGAAUCUGCUGUGAAUCUGCCGGGACCACCCGGUAAGCCUAAAUACCUGCUUAUGACCGAUAGCGGAUU
This 2428-nucleotide ribosomal RNA is filed under the name uncultured Corynebacterium sp. Its description in RNAcentral is "partial contains 16S ribosomal RNA, 16S-23S ribosomal RNA intergenic spacer, and 23S ribosomal RNA". The stretch from base 1 to 1496 matches the Rfam family "Bacterial small subunit ribosomal RNA". The record is from RNAcentral. Lineage: Bacteria; Bacillati; Actinomycetota; Actinomycetes; Mycobacteriales; Corynebacteriaceae.